Molecule: long non-coding RNA, 750 nt
Filed under: Mus pahari (shrew mouse)
Lineage: Eukaryota; Metazoa; Chordata; Mammalia; Rodentia; Muridae
Description: lncRNA (MGP_PahariEiJ_G0003379.1)
Source: RNAcentral
AGUUGCCAUGACUAUGGCUGCCAGGUACAAGAGACAAGUGAUUGGCUAUCAGUUCCACCUUGAGGCAGAUUCUUCCUUCCCUCCUCUUCCUUUUGCCACUAACUGCUAAAGUCCAGUGUGUGUGUGUGUGUGUGUGUGUGUGUGUGGCUAGAUACAGUGAUACUCAACUGAGAUGUCAGGCAGCAGGGACCUAGUGUACCAAGACCUGGGCGUAGGCUGACAUUCGGUAUAACGCCUUGACUUUCUGUGUUUCAGGGACAGCUGAUGGUUUGAGAAACAGGCAGGGCACUGCAUGAAAUGGUAGUGCCUAGGAACCCAAAGAGGAAGCAAGGAACGCUUCUCCCUGGGCAGAUGCCAGAUCUGUUGCCUCCAGGAUCUGCCCUUCCCCCUGCAAGUCUGACAGUCCCCUCCCCUUGCCUCUCAUAGCAGGACUUUGCAAACAGUCUCUCCGGAUGGACACGGGCGGGCCGCGGCUGCGCCUCCUCCCCGAACACUUUCCAUUCCCAGACUGAGCCUCAGCCAUGGCUCCUCAGGAAAAUUGGCCGAAAGAGACAUUUUCCAUGCUCUUGACUCCUCUGGCUGUGCUGGCACUCUCCAGCAUCUUCUCCCCCUAGCAAACCACGCCCAGAAAGAGAGGAUGCUGUCGGUCAACCUGCUGUUACUCAUCCACCGCUUAGUCUGAAGUCAUUUCAUCUCUCGGUGCCUCAAUGAUUUAAUCUAUGAAUAUUCAGGCUGAGGCCUGUGGUCUGC